This 7941-nucleotide long non-coding RNA is filed under the name Citrus maxima (pomelo). RNAcentral describes it as "long non-coding RNA (CMAX_LNC000570)". Lineage: Eukaryota; Viridiplantae; Streptophyta; Magnoliopsida; Sapindales; Rutaceae. The record is from RNAcentral.
CCUGACAUCGUUUCCUUCUCAAGAAGAACUUCCACGAUCUUGUCAAUGGCUUCACGGUUGUUCCUUAUUUGGCUCAACGCAAUCUCAUAAGCACGGUCUGAUAGUCUCUUGACUGCGGCAUCGAUGUCUUCAGCAAGCUUCUCUGACAUUGAGUUCCUUGCCGUCAUUCUCAUGAUGACAUCACCACUGUGUGAUCCGUCCACGAACGACCAUGGGCCAAUUUCAGACAUUCCAAAUGUGGUUACCAUCUGCUGAAAAAAAGAAAAAAAAAAUAAUAUGCCUAAAUUUUAUUGAAAAUUGUUGGAGGAAUAAUUGACGGAGAAGGCAAAAACAGGAUUAUUAAAUUACCUGUUUGGCCAAGAAGUGAUUUGGAUUUGGGUUGGCAAGAUCAAGAAUCUAGCAAGAGCCUUCUAAAUAAUACCGAAAAGUAACUCCCACCACCUGUAUAUUGAUCCACUUUCUUAUUCAACAAAUCUCUGCAAAUCUUUAUAAUUAAUUUUGAUAUGGAUUUUUUUUCCUCCUUCACUCUGGUAAUUAACUUUUGUAUCCAUGUAGUGAUAAAGUAAAAUCUCUCUUUCUUUUAUCCUAAUGGUUCAUUUAUUUGCUUGAUAAAUAUCUUGUUACAGUCUUGUUUCCACAGUUAACUGACUUUUAAAUUACAAUUUUAUCUUUCAAUAAAUUAAAAGGACAUCACAUAAAAAUUAUUUUCUUUUUGUUUCUUUUUUUAACGGAGAAUCAAAGAUUUAGACUCUAUUUGGUACAGUUUUUCAAACAAAAUUUAUUUAAGCGGAGUUUUUGGUAAUAAAGCUUUUACAAAUGAAGCUUUCAUUUAAAAAAUUUUAAUUUUUUCAUAGUCAAUAAGAGUUUUUAUUAAAAAUUUAUAAAAUUAUUUUAAUAGAUAAAUUUUUUAAGUUAUCUUAUGAAAAAAUAAAAUAAUAUUGUCAAAUAAAUAAAAAAAUAUUUUGGAUAUUUUAACAUUUAAAAAAAAAAAUUUCAACCUCUAUUCCCAAAAAUCUAAAAUUUAGACUUUUACUAGUAGAGAAAAAUAAUUUAUUUAAGCUCUAAAAGUUCUAAAAAAAAACCAAAUAACAACAAAAAUUAUGAUAAGAGUUUAUGAGAUUAAAUAAGCACUUGGUUGUGGUCAUUAGAUAAGUCAAAUCAAACAGACACUUAUAAUGCCCUAAAAAAAUUAGUAGAUGAAUAUUUAGGGUUGAAAAAUAGUUUUUUUUUUCUCUUCGAAUUUUAAGGAAAAGAAUAGUUAUACUUCCUAAAAUUUGAGAAAAUAAUUAUCAAGAUCCCCUAAAUUUUGUAUUAUAAUUUUUGAGAAAUCUGAAUGCAAAGUCAAUUUUACCCUCGCAUAUGCACAUCCGUUUAUUAAUGACAUUUACAUAGAGAUUAGAAAUAAUUUGUCAACAAGUAAAGGAUGUUAAUUGGGCAAAGUGUCCUCUUUUUGGCAGCAAAGUAUUAAUGUUUAUUCCUCCAACAAACAUGAAACUGUUCUGCAUAUUUUCUUUCUUCUGGAUUCAUUUUAGUUCCUUUUUUACUAUUUCUCUUCGGUUUAAGUUUGUUCCUAUAAAUUUAAUUGCCUAUUGCUACUACCAGUUUUUAUUUUCCUUGUUACUCUGCUUCUGCUUGCAAUAUCAAAGCUAAAUGUAAUAUUUAUUGCACAGCUGAAGUGAUGAGUAAGCUUGAAUCCUUGGCUCAAGUGACAAAUAUAAAAUGCUGGUUCUUUUUCUCCAUUACAAUUCUAACAGAUAGUGAAGGAAAAAAAAUAAAAAAAAGAAGCAUAUCAGGCAUACUACAAUGAAAUGCCAAAGGAGAAAAAUGGCACAAUGUACAAUUAACAGAACUCAAAACAAGCUUAAAAAUCAAAUCUCAUGAACACAAAACAGUGGAUCUCAUACUCAUUAAUGAAUUUGGCCUGCACUCAAAUCUCAAUGAUGAACGUGCCUGAAAAUGAAUGUUCAUCUAGGAUUAGAAAGAACAGAUUCUGUUGGCCUGGAGGAGACAUGAUCACUAUUGACAAUGGAAACAUAUGGCAUUGCUUGUGCAAAUUUGUAAUCGACGUUUGCAUCUACUUCCAUUACUCCUUCCAACACCUUCACCACGGUUGACAUUGACGGCCUUUUUCCGGGAUCAUUCUGCAAACACCAGGCUCCAAUCUUAAUCAUUCUUAUCAUUUCAUCCAUAUGAUUUUCCACCUCUUCGCCGAAACUUUCCACGAUGUCAAACAGUCUGUCCUCCUUGGCCUUCUCCUGCAGCAGUCUGAGGAGAUGGCAGCUAGAUUCUGAUCGCGAACGAUCUAAGUUUCUCCGAGCACUGACCACUUCAAGAAGUACAAUUCCAAAGCUAUAUAUGUCAACUUUGACACUGAUUUUUGAUUUCCUCCAUUCCGGAGCAAUGUAUCCUGGAGUUCCUCUCAUUGUUGCCUGCACUAGGCUCUCGUCUCUCUCGAUUAGCUGAGCCAACCCAAAAUCAGAAACCUUGGCAUUGAAAUUUUCGUCCAAGAGAAUAUUUUGUGGCUUUAUAUCAAGAUGUGCCACUCUUCUCCGGCAAUCUUCAUGCAGAUAAGUCAAUCCUUUGGCUACAUCAAGUAUUAUUUUCUUCCUAGUUUGCCAGUCAAGACAAGGUCUCGGAUCUCUGACAAAAAUCCAUUUUUCCAAGGAGCCAUUGCUCAUGUACUCAUAAACAAGAAGCCUGCAGGAUUUCUCUACGCAAAAGCCAAUCAAUCUCACAAGAUUGAAAUGAUGCAAGCUACCGAUUGUCUCAACUUCUGCUACGAACUCCCUCAUCCCCUGCUCCAUUCUAUCCAGACGCUUUACAGCAAUUUUACUGCCGUCUUUUAAAACUCCCUUGAACACAGUUCCAAACCCCCCUCCUCCAAUUCUCUCUUUAAAAUCUUCUGUCGCAAUCUGUAAAUCUUCAUAUGAAAACCUCACAGGUAAUCCAGGAACUUGUUUCAUGUCAUCUUCCAAAUGUUCCUCCUCCUCUACGUUCCUCCGAACUUUCACAAUAUACAACACAAUUACAAUACAGAUAAUCAGAAGCCCACCAGCGGUUGAUCCUGCUACUACCGCCACCAAUUUUGUUCGUCCUUUUUUGGGUGAUUUUGGCCUGUUCUCUUCUGUUGGUGCUAUGCCUGUCACAGGUGGUGGUGCAUUUCCUUCUGGUGCUAAUGUUCCGUUUGUUGGAGUGAUGUAGGGUACAUUUCCUUCUGGUGCUAAUGUUCCGUUUGUUGGAGUGAUGUAGGGUACAUUUCCUUCUGGUGUUGAUGUUCCGUUUGUUGGAGUGAUGUAUGUUGGAGUGAUGUAUGUUGGAGUGAUAUAGGGUGCAUUUCCUUCUGGUGUUGAUGUUCGGUUUGUUGGAGUGAUGUAUGUUGGAGUGAUGUAGGCUGCAUUUCCUUCUGGUGUUAAUGUUCCGUUUGGAGUGAUGUAGGGAAUCAGAAGCCCACCAGCGGUUGAUCCUCCUGCUACCACCACCAAUUUUGUUCCUCUUUUUUUGGGUGAUUUUGGCAUGUUCUCUUCUGUUGGUGCUAUGCCCGUUACAGGUGGUGGUGCUUUUCCUUCUGGUGUUAAUGUUCCGUUUGGAGUGAUGGAGGGAUUUGGUGGACUCAGUGAUAUCUUUUCUGCUGAGGAUUUCCAAAUUAUUUUGCUUUCAUUGUUAAAGAGAGAAAGAUUUCCAUCCGGGUCAAGGUUCAUCCAGUGAACGGAGUUACCUGAGUGGUUGCUCGCCCAUAUCUGGGUGCCAUCCGAAUCUCUCAGCACCAAACCGUCCGUCUUUAGCUGCACCAUCGCGUUUGCUUUUACCGGGCGGGUCUUUGUUAGCUGACCAGACCACUCUGGGAUCAUUCCCUCUAACGGCAACAACUGAAAAAACAUAAGAGUUGCAGGUGCCAUUGCAGUAAAACCCACAAUAAAAAUCAAAAUCACCGGCGUCCUGUAAUAAGAGGAAUACUCUCAUCUGCCAUCCAUUUGUGAUGACAGAGUUGUUGUUGUACCAUGUAGAGGGAAGGCCUGAAUCCAAACAGUAAAUGUUGCUGGCCCUUACGUAACAAUUUCCCGUUGUUGCAGCCGAAGUUGGGAUGAUGUGUAAGCUAAUAAGAACGGAGAGAAUGGGAAACAAGCAGCGGAGGCUGCAGCUAGCCAUGAUCUGUGUGUUUGGAAUUGGGUGAGAGAGAUGAGAAAAAAGGGGUCACGAAGACAUUUUAAGUCAAGCAAGCUACAUAAAUAUCAUUCGUCUCUAUUUGAUGAUUCAUGGAAAAGUAUAUUCAUGUCUCAGUAUGUUCUUUCGGCUCCAACUUUGCUGUGAUUUUUUUUUUCGUUGUACGACAUGUGAUAAAAAUGUUGAGAAAUAUCACAUGGAAUUAGAAUGACCAUUUUGUGAAGUAUAACACAAAACUUGAAAAGGUGUAACGUUACUCAAUUUAACAUAUAUUUAUUAUGAAGUGUAACACAAAAUUUGUGGCGGUAAAACAUUGGGAAAUUGUCGAUCUAACACAAAUUGUCUCCUAAUAAUGUGCAUCGAUGCAUCUUGUGUGUGCAUGCGCGUGCGAUGAAUACACAAUAACUAGUGAAUGAUAGUGCUUAAAUACUAAAUUUAAUACGCAAACGACGUGCUCGCGUAUUAAUAUCUCACAUGAGCAACAUCACACACUAAAAAAUGGACAUAAUAUAUGCAUAUCAUCUUAAGGAUUCAUACAAUCAGGGAAUACUAAGUAGACAAUCUUUUAAGUUACAUUUAAUUUAAUGGAAGACUUAUUCAAUAUUAAAUUUGUAUCCUUUCAUGAUUAUUUCUUGGAAGAGUCGUGAUUGCCAUUUGCCAGCUAUAAUUAUUGUCCAACACGUCUUUGAGACUUUGACGAAGCGUUUAUGACUUCCACAAAAGCAAACAUAUAAAAGUAAAAACUAGAAAGCAACUGAAACUGAUAUCAGACUUUCCCAUGCAUGCUUGGCCUAACAGGUCAAUUAACAUUUUAAGAUUGAAGACAACCUACAGCCUUAUUUUCUUCACAGCUUUUGGGCAUAAUCUAAAUAAAUUAUUAUUUGAGUCAAACUAUUAUUUAAAAAAAUGCUUAGACCGCUCUAAAUGAGUUCAAACAUUCGGUCUGCCGUGUAAUAGAACUGGUCUAAACCCGAUUCUUAUAUUUGACUAAAUUUAAUAAUUCAAAACAAAUUAAGUAUGUUUGUAAAUUUCAUAAUCAAUUUUCUGGAUAUGGAAAAACAUCACAAAGAAAAGAAAAGGACUUUUCCUAAUUCAGCUUGAAAUUGGUAAUCAAAGAAGUAUGAAUACUCUUUUCUUUCCUUUUUGAUAUAAAGUUUACAAAACCAAUCUUUUGGCAGUAGAGCUUACAACUAUGAGAGCAAAGAGUCAUCUUCUUACCAGUAAUCUCCACAAGAGCAUUUCCCAUUUCUGAAAUGAUGAAAUCUACUGGCAUCUCGAACAAUAAUUUCUCUGUUUUUAAUUUCUGAAAUGUACUUAAUAGCAACAUGGCAAUCACUGCAGACGCGCAAGUUCUUCAUCACCCUUAUUGGUACACCCGUGGGUGUGUUCAUCAGGGCAAACGCAAUUGCAAGCUUUUCACUAUGGUGUUUCAAAUUAUAUUCCUUUUCCUCAUUGUCCAUGUCAUGCAUAUCAGCACCUGUAUCAGGGACAUAGCCCCGUAGCUUCAUCUCUGAUGUUAGUUCUUCCAAAUACAAAUCAAUCUCCAUCGAACUUGGAUGAGAUUUGUCGCCCAUGGUAAACUGAUGAACUUGAUUCUUUAUUUCUAACCAGCUUACACCUGGUUCCUUCUUCACAUUCCUCUCUCUCAUGGCCUCUCUAAACUCGGAAACACCCUGCCACCUCUUAGCAGAAGCAUGAAUGUUAGAAAGCAACACAUAAGGAGCCGCAUCCCGAGGAUUAAGCUUAAGAACUUCUUCAGCGAUUCUUCCAGCCAUAUCAGUACUCUUAUGGAUUUUACAUGCAGAUAACAAAGUUUUCCAUAUGAUAGUAUCGGCUUUGACAGGCAUGUUUCUUAUCAGAGCCUCUGCUUCAUCUAAACAACCACAACGGCCAAGUAGGUCAACCACACAUGUAUAAUGUUCUAAUCUAGGCUUCAGACCAUACUUCUUUACCAUCAAAUCAAAGAAUUCCAUCCCUUUUUCCUUCAGACCACAAUGACUGCAAGCAUACAGCAAGCUCACAAAAGUAACAUCAUUUGCCUCGAAUUCUUUCUGCUCCAUCUGCUCAAACAAAUUGAUAGCUUCCUCUCCUUUUCCAUGAAAUCCAUAAGCAGCAAUCAUCGAGCUCCACAAAACAACAUCAGAAUAUUCACAUUCCAGAAAGGCUUUCAUUGAAUCAUCCAAACAACCGCACCUUGAAUACAUGCUAAUUAACGAACUAAUCACCCCAACAUCCAAACUAGCCCCAGCUUUAACCACUUCAGCAUGAAUCUGCUGACCUUGACCUAAUGUUGCCAAUUCUGAACAUGAACUAACCACACUCACAAACGUAAUCUUGUCAGGCCUAAAUCCUACCAUUCUCAUCAAAUUAUAUUGAUCCAAAACAUCCUCAGCAAGCCCAUUUUGAGCUUUUCCGGCAAUGAGUGUGUUCCAAGCAAUCACAUUGCGGAUAGGCAUCAAUCUAAUCACCUUCUCUCCUUCUACCAAGCUUCCACUUUUCAUAUACAUAUGAGCCAAUGAACUCCCAACAACCAAAUCCAGCUCAAACCCACCUUUCAUUACAUAACAAUGAAUUUGCCUCCCAGCAUCUAACCCUCUCAAACCAGCACACCCCCUCAAAACACUACCUAAAGUAAACUCAUCAGGCAAAAAACCAACUUGAUGCAUUUCACUUAGUAAUCUCAAACCCUCCUCAUUGAACUCAAACUGAACCAAUCCCGCAACCAUCGCAUUCCAGGUUGCAAUAUUUCUCUUAGUCAUCCCAUCAAACACUUUCCGUGCACUCUCCAAAUCACCGCUCUGCACAUUCGCAUUGAUCAUAAUGUUACAAGACAUGAUAUUUCUCCUCGGCAUGAGACCAAACAGGGUAACAGCUGUUUGUAAUUGCCCAAUUUUUGAGUACAUGUUGAGCAAGUGAUUGCAAAUGAAAUUGUUUGAGGAACACCCAGAUGUGACUAUCAAAGAGUGAAGCUGUUUUGAACAUGAAAGUGAUUUUUUGAGCGUGCAUGAUUGGAUUAGAUGAGAGAAGAGAGUUGGGUUUGACCAUAUUUCAGAUUUGAAUCUGUUGAAGGCUUCCUUUAUGUGUCCUUUUGAGCAUAAGUUGAUAAAUUCUUCUGUUGAGUCAAUGAAAUUUGCGACAACUUCCGUGGCAGUCUUGGAGAAAAAACGAAGGCCGGACAUGUACUGAUGCUGUUUUUAAGUUGAGCUGAUUUCGUAUGAUUCCGAAACUUAUAACGAUAAUUAGUCUGCACCUGUGGAUAACGCUGAGAUUUUAUGCUUCAAAAAUCAGGAGCAAAACUUUAGAAAUUUACUCAAUCAUGACUUUUUGAGUUAGUGUACAAUCCUACUUACAUUUGAUCAAGAAUACAGAGUAUUAUACAUUCAAGUGUACGCGUUCAAAGAGUGGCUGAAAUUUCAAGUAUGGAUAAUAUUAAUGCCACUCAAACAGAUACAGAUAAUGGUGCUGGAACAGCUGGAGGGACCCUAUUUUCAGCUGGGAUUUCGACAAACUCUGAGAGGAUUGCCCGGAAUUCAUCCCCUGACAUUGUUUCCUUCUCAAGAAGAACUUCCACGAUCUUGUCAAUGGCUUCACGGUUGUUCCUUAUUUGGCUCAACGCAAUCUCAUAGGCACGGUCUGAUAGUCUCUUGACUGCAGCAUCAAUGUCUUCAGCAAGCUUCUCAGACAUUGAGUUCCUUGCCAUCAUUCUCAUGAUGACAUCACCACUCUGUGAUCCGUCCAUGAGCGACCAUGGGCCAAUUUCAGACAUUCCAAAUGUGGUUA